This 693-nucleotide ribosomal RNA is filed under the name Azoarcus sp. HPC1157. RNAcentral's name for it is "bacterial SSU rRNA". It matches the Rfam family "Bacterial small subunit ribosomal RNA", at positions 64 to 713 of the family's 1533-position model. Lineage: Bacteria; Pseudomonadati; Pseudomonadota; Betaproteobacteria; Rhodocyclales; Zoogloeaceae. The record is from RNAcentral.
GGAAAUAUGUCACAAGGUAGCCGUUGUUUUUUUCCUCGGGCCCCCCCCGGUUUUCUUCUGCCUGCCGGCGAGUGGCGAACGGGUGAGUAAUGCAUCGGAACGUGCCCAGUCAUGGGGGAUAACUACGCGAAAGCGUAGCUAAUACCGCAUACGCCCUGAGGGGGAAAGUGGGGGAUCUUCGGACCUCACGUGAUUGGAGCGGCCGAUGUCAGAUUAGCUAGUUGGUGAGGUAAAGGCUCACCAAGGCGACGAUCUGUAGCGGGUCUGAGAGGAUGAUCCGCCACACUGGGACUGAGACACGGCCCAGACUCCUACGGGAGGCAGCAGUGGGGAAUUUUGGACAAUGGGCGCAAGCCUGAUCCAGCCGUGCCGCGUGAGUGAAGAAGGCCUUCGGGUUGUAAAGCUCUUUCGCAAGGGAAGAAAACGUGUGGGCUAAUAUCCUGCGCGGAUGACGGUACCUUGACAAGAAGCACCGGCUAACUACGUGCCAGCAGCCGCGGUAAUACGUAGGGUGCGAGCGUUAAUCGGAAUUACUGGGCGUAAAGCGUGCGCAGGCGGUUGUGUAAGACAGGUGUGAAAUCCCCGGGCUUAACCUGGGAACUGCGCUUGUGACUGCAGGGCUAGAGUACGGCAGAGGGGGGUGGAAUUCCUGGUGUAGCAGUGAAAUGCGUAAAUAUCAGAAGGAACACCGAU